AUGUCUAAUGUUUUUCCGCCUGGGAAAUUAAUCAGACUAUUGCGAGCGGAACGAGCAGGGCGAGCUUUGGAUGAAUCGAUCUAUUAUUGGGAAAUCUUAUUGGGAAUAACAAGGGCUUCCCUGAAUAUCCAAAGUUUCAUAUCUGAAGCAAGUUUUCAAGAAACUGCUCAAGUUUUAGCAAAAGCUGCCCUACGAGGUCGCAUUGAUUGGUUGAAAGGCUUGAAAGAAAACAUAGUUCUGGGGGGAUACCCGUUGGUACCGGAUUCCAAAAAUUUGUGCAUCGUUCCCCACAAGAAAAGAACCUUUAUUUCGACAAAAAAAUCUAUUCGCGUCGGAAAUGAGAGAUUUUUUUGUUUCUCCAUGCAGAAUUAG
Molecule: ribosomal RNA, 372 nt
Filed under: Triticum aestivum (bread wheat)
Lineage: Eukaryota; Viridiplantae; Streptophyta; Magnoliopsida; Poales; Poaceae
Description: partial small subunit ribosomal RNA
Source: RNAcentral